UACAGAGACCUCAAGCGUUAUCCGGAAUCAUUGGGCGUAAAGCGUACCGAUAGGUGGUCUUGAAAGUUUUGGGUAAAAGCCAGAAGCUCAACUUCUGAGUUUGCUCAAAAUACUGCAAGACUUGAGGGGCAAAGAGGAGAUUGGAACGAACGGUGUAGUAGUGAAAUGCGUUGAUAUCGUUCGGAACACCGAAAGCGAAGGCAGAUCUCUGGGUGCCACCUGACACUGCUAGGACGAAAGCGUGGGGAGCGAAUGGG
Molecule: ribosomal RNA, 257 nt
Filed under: uncultured bacterium
Lineage: Bacteria
Description: partial 16S ribosomal RNA
Rfam family: Bacterial small subunit ribosomal RNA
Source: RNAcentral